AACGAACGCUGGCGGCAUGCUUUACACAUGCAAGUCGAACGGUAACAGGCCGCAAGGUGCUGACGAGUGGCGAACGGGUGAGUAAUGCAUCGGAACGUGCCCAGUCGUGGGGGAUAACGCAGCGAAAGCUGCGCUAAUACCGCAUACGAUCUCUGGAUGAAAGCGGGGGACCGAAAGGCCUCGCGCGAUUGGAGCGGCCGAUGUCAGAUUAGGUAGUUGGUGGGGUAAAGGCCACCAAGCCAACGAUCUGUAGCUGGUCUGAGAGGACGACGAGGCACACUGGGACUGAGACACGGCCCAGACUCCUACGGGAGGCAGCAGUGGGGAAUUUUGGACAAUGGGCGCAAGCCUGAUCCAGCAAUGCCGCGUGCAGGAAGAAGGCCUUCGGGUUGUAAACUGCUUUUGUACGGAACGAAACGGUCCGGGUUAAUACCCUGGGCUAAUGACGGUACCGUAAGAAUAAGCACCGGCUAACUACGUGCCAGCAGCCGCCGUAA
This 497-nucleotide ribosomal RNA is filed under the name uncultured bacterium. RNAcentral describes it as "partial 16S ribosomal RNA". It matches the Rfam family "Bacterial small subunit ribosomal RNA", at positions 29 to 523 of the family's 1533-position model. The record is from RNAcentral.